UACAGAGGUCCCAAGCGUUGUUCGGAUUCAUUGGGCGUAAAGGGUGCGUAGGCGGCGCGGUAAGUCGGGUGUGAAAUCUCGGAGCUUAACUCCGAAACUGCAUUCGGAUACUGCCGUGCUUGAGGACUGGAGAGGAGACUGGAAUUUACGGUGUAGCGGUGAAAUGCGUAGAUAUCGUAAGGAAGACCAGUGGCGAAGGCGGGUCUCUGGACAGUUCCUGACGCUGAGGCACGAAGGUCAGGGGAGCAAACGGG
Molecule: ribosomal RNA, 254 nt
Filed under: uncultured bacterium
Lineage: Bacteria
Description: partial 16S ribosomal RNA
Rfam family: Bacterial small subunit ribosomal RNA
Source: RNAcentral